GGCGGGUGGUUGGACGUUCAGGAUUGCGAAUUCGGUCAGGAUCGGAAGAAAGCAGCCGUAGCGAACACCAAACGGGUCGACUACCCAGCCAG
RNAcentral lists this signal recognition particle RNA (92 nucleotides) under Holosporaceae bacterium. RNAcentral's name for it is "signal recognition particle sRNA small type". It matches the Rfam family "Bacterial small signal recognition particle RNA". Rfam says of the family: The signal recognition particle (SRP) is a universally conserved ribonucleoprotein involved in the co-translational targeting of proteins to membranes. The record is from RNAcentral. Lineage: Bacteria; Pseudomonadati; Pseudomonadota; Alphaproteobacteria; Holosporales; Holosporaceae.